RNAcentral lists this ribosomal RNA (519 nucleotides) under uncultured bacterium. Its description in RNAcentral is "bacterial SSU rRNA". It matches the Rfam family "Bacterial small subunit ribosomal RNA", at positions 9 to 518 of the family's 1533-position model. The record is from RNAcentral.
AGGUUCGAUUCUGGCUCAGGAUGAACGCUAGCGGCAGGCCUAACACAUGCAAGUCGAGGGGCAGGCAGGGGGUAGCAAUACCCCGCUGGCGACCGGCGGACGGGUGCGUAACGCGUAUGCAACCUACCCGUAACAGGGGAAUAACGGAGGGAAACCUCCACUAAUGCCCCAUAUAGUCAGGGGACCGCAUGGUUUCGUGACGAAAGCUUCGGUGGUUACGGACGGGCAUGCGUGGCAUUAGGCGGUUGGCGGGGUAACGGCCCACCAAACCUACGAUGCCUAGGGGAGCUGAGAGGCUAAUCCCCCACACUGGUACUGAGACACGGACCAGACUCCUACGGGAGGCAGCAGUGAGGAAUAUUGGUCAAUGGACGGAAGUCUGAACCAGCCAUGCCGCGUGAAGGAAAGACGGCCCUAUGGGUUGUAAGCUUCUUUUAGCCGGGAGUAAUAAGGCGCACGUGCUGCGCCGAUGAAAGUACCGGCGGAAUAAGCAUCGGCUAACUCCGUGCCAGCAGCAGC